GGAUGAACGCUGGCGGCGUGCCUAAUCCAUGUAAGUCGAGCGAACGGACGAGAAGCUUGCUUCUCUGAUGUUAGCGGCGGACGGGUGAGUAACACGUGGAUAACCUACCUAUAAGACUGGGAUAACUUCGGGAAACCGGAGCUAAUACCGGAUAAUAUUUUGAACCGCAUGGUUCAAAAGUGAAAGACGGUCUUGCUGUCACUUAUAGAUGGAUCCGCGCUGCAUUAGCUAGUUGGUAAGGUAACGGCUUACCAAGGCAACGAUGCAUAGCCGACCUGAGAGGGUGAUCGGCCACACUGGAACUGAGACACGGUCCAGACUCCUACGGGAGGCAGCAGUAGGGAAUCUGCCGCAAUGGGCGAAAGCCUGACGGAGCAACGCCGCGUGAGUGAUGAAGGUCUUCGGAUCGUAAAACUCUGUUAUUAGGGAAGAACAUAUGUGUAAGUAACUGUGCACAUCUUGACGGUACCUAAUCAGAAAGCCACGGCUAACUACGUG
This 498-nucleotide ribosomal RNA is filed under the name uncultured bacterium. RNAcentral's name for it is "partial 16S ribosomal RNA". It matches the Rfam family "Bacterial small subunit ribosomal RNA", at positions 27 to 507 of the family's 1533-position model. The record is from RNAcentral.